Molecule: transfer RNA, 420 nt
Filed under: Xanthomonas citri pv. malvacearum
Lineage: Bacteria; Pseudomonadati; Pseudomonadota; Gammaproteobacteria; Lysobacterales; Lysobacteraceae
Description: partial 16S-23S ribosomal RNA intergenic spacer
Rfam family: tRNA (bases 97-169)
Source: RNAcentral
UUGAGCAUGACGUCAUCGUCCUGUCGGGCGUCCUCACAAAUUACCUGCAUUCAGAGAUGCGUAUCGGCACAGGCCGGUAUGCGAAAGUCCCAUCAUGGGGCCUUAGCUCAGCUGGGAGAGCACCUGCUUUGCAAGCAGGGGGUCGUCGGUUCGAUCCCGACAGGCUCCACCAUUUGAGUGAAACGACUUUGGGUCUGUAGCUCAGGUGGUUAGAGCGCACCCCUGAUAAGGGUGAGGUCGGUGGUUCGAGUCCUCCCAAACCCACCACUCUGAAUGUAGUGCACACUUAAGAAUUUAUAUGGAUCAACGUUGAGGCUGAGACAUGUUCUUUUAUAACUUGUGACGUAGCGAGCGUUUGAGAUAUCUAUCUAAACGUGUCGUUGAGGCUAAGGCGGGGACUUCGAGUCCCUAAAUAAUUGA